UACGUAGGGUGCAAGCGUUGUCCGGAAUUAUUGGGCGUAAAGAGCUCGUAGGCGGUUUGUCGCGUCUGCUGUGAAAACGCGAGGCUCAACCUCGCGCCUGCAGUGGGUACGGGCAGACUGGAGUGCGGUAGGGGAGAUUGGAAUUCCUGGUGUAGCGGUGGAAUGCGCAGAUAUCAGGAGGAACACCAAUGGCGAAGGCAGAUCUCUGGGCCGUAACUGACGCUGAGGAGCGAAAGCAUGGGGAGCGAACAGG
Molecule: ribosomal RNA, 253 nt
Filed under: uncultured bacterium
Lineage: Bacteria
Description: partial 16S ribosomal RNA
Rfam family: Bacterial small subunit ribosomal RNA
Source: RNAcentral